RNAcentral lists this long non-coding RNA (4994 nucleotides) under Xyrichtys novacula (pearly razorfish). Lineage: Eukaryota; Metazoa; Chordata; Actinopteri; Labriformes; Labridae. The record is from RNAcentral.
AAACUUGGAGGCCAGUGAGGACAAAAAUAAAAAGUUAUAAAACAUUUAAGAAUGUGGAUUUUUGGGUUAUUUUUGGCGCCCCCUAGAACCUAAACCAUGGGGUGCAGCAUCAUGAUUUGAAUAACUUUUAAUGGCCAUGGGGUGUAGAUUGGCCUGAGCAAAUGUGGUGCCGGUGGAACGAAAGCCUUCGGAGGAGUUAGCGAAAUUCCAAUGUGUGCGUAUCGGCAAAAAAUGCGGAAUAACCCUUUAACUGUACAUUUGACAGAUACGCGCGCAUGUACUUUUUUGUAGAUCUUAUUGAGUUACAUGUGUGUGUCAAUUUUUGUGUCAUUUUGCCAAAGCGUACAGGUGUUACACUCAACAAUGUGUAUUUUCACCUUAGGGGACAAGAAAAAAUGGACUUUUUUCUCCUGCCAUGGGGGGGCGCUCUUUUGGGGAGUAAAAAUUCCUUCACAAAUGUGUUGAUGGCUGGACAUUGCAUCAUCCUAGAAAACUUGGAGGCCAGUGAGGGCAAAAAUAAAAAGUUAUAAGACUUUUAAAUAUGUGGAUUUUAGGGUUAUCUUUGGCGCCCCCUAGAACCUAAACCGUGGGGUGCAGCGUCAUGAUUUGAAUAACUUUUAAUGGCCAUGGGGUGUAGAUUGGCCUGAGCAAAUGUGGUGCCGGUGGAACGAAAGCCUUCGGAGGAGUUAGCGAAAUUCCAAUGUGUGCGGAUCGGCAAAAAAUGCGAAAUAACCCUUUAACCGUACAUUUGACAGAUACGCCCGCACUGACUUUUUUGUAGAUCUUAUUGAGAUACAUGUGUGUGUCAAUUUUUGUGUCAUUUUGACAAAGCGUACAGGCGUGACAGUCAAUAGUGUGAAUUUUCGCCUUAGGGGGCGCUAUGGAGCCAUUUUGCAUUUUCUUGUUUGGGCGACUUCGGAAUAUCAAAUUUUUCACCAGGCCCGGUCGUCCUGCCAAAUUUCAUGAGUUUUCGCCAGUGGGAAGUGGGCCAUUUUCCAGUUCAAAGGGGAGGAAAAAUAAUAAUAACAAAAGAAGGAAACUACAGGAACAAGAGGGCUCUCGCAGCUGCUUAGCAGCUACGCUCGGGCCCUAACUAGGACCCCGUUGGGGCACUGGCGGGCCCGAGCCGUGUCGCGUCUCCCCCCCCCCCCCCCCCCAACGUGCUGCCUCCCCGUCCCAUUUGUGUCCUCUGGCCAUCGCCCUCUCUGGUAACGCCCAUCACUGCAAAGACCCUUUUCCUUCAUCGGCGUUUGCUGUUCUUCCUGCCAGUGCGUGUUGCUUUCACUUACACUUGCCACAGCCAGCCUCGUGAGUGCCUAGCCUAUUGGAUAUCACUGUCACCUACACAGGACAGUCAUUACCUUUCUAUUAAUACUUUGUGUUUUAAUUUCACAUUAAUUUCCAUAUUGUAUAAACGACUGGAAAAAACUUGAGCCCCUGCCCCUGUAUAAUCAUGUGCAUGUCUCUGUUCUAGCUCCAAGGUGAAUCUUCACUGCUCAUGUUCUCCUCAGAAGCACUCACCUCACUCCCCUCAGGUUACUGUACACAUGCACCAACUGCCUGCUUCAGGUUUGGAUGGAGCUUCAUGGUUGUCUUUUGGAGAAAUGAGCAGUCAAGUUGUGCUUGAAAUUUGAUUUUUUUCAGGGGCAAAAGGAGCCUCUGCAUUCUUGUCAAAUAUGUAAAUAGCAUGUUUUUGCAGGUGCUAAAAACCAGACUCUGAGUGUGUGUGUGUGUGUGUGUGUGUGUGUGUGCGUGUGUGUGUGUCUGUGUGUGCGUUCAAGUCACAUGACAUAUUUAACCGGAUGUAGCUGCAAGACGGAGCCUCGUUGACUCUCCGUUUCAACUUAUCUCAAAAGUGAGGACCUCAACCUAUAUACCAGUUUUUAAAUUGUGUUGAUAGGCCAAAUAAAACCAGAGUUAUGAUAAAUUAUGUCCGCGAUACUUUUUUUCUGCUUAUUUUGAUCACGUUCGGCGCUCGAUCGCGCUGUAUGAGACAGGAAAACAUAGCAUGCACACAUUAGCGACAGGUCUUACAGGCGGAAAAGGCUUGCCAAAAGAAAAAAAAAAACACACCACAACAUCUCUCCUAUUGGUGGAAAACUUCACCACAACAACCAAUCCAAAAUUAUAUGGUGACUGAUUGACAAGGGGAGGGCGCUUACGUUCUUCCUGCAACAUGAGAAGCGAGGGAGGGACUCUCAGCAGGGAUGCAGUCUGGGACACGUAGUUGCAAACCUAGCGACUUUGUUGUUAGAUUCAAUGACUUUUCAGACCCCCUAACGACUUUUUUUUAGAAAGAAAGGGACUUUUAUCGACUUCUUCUGGAGUUUAGAGACUCUGACAUGAAGCAGGCUUUCCUUACUGAGGAGUUAGCAACGCUGCUAAGGGUGCAGAGCCACACAUGCGCUCAGAGCUCUGCAUGGGAGACUGAAGCUGACAGAGCUGCAGCAGUUAGCAGGUUUCACCCUCAGAGACCACCAGGGGUUCAUGUUGAGGCAUUUUAAUUUUUUUUUUUUUUUUGUGCCAUACCCACUGUCAGCACAAUCUGCAGUUACACUAACAAAAAUGCUGCAAAAAACAAAGAAUUAUGGAAAAAUUACACAUGGACUGACAUAGAGGAGGAUCUACACAAGUUUUUUACAUCAUGUUUUACAUCAUGCAUCAUUUACAUCAUGUUUUUUUGUAGUGGCAUAAAUAAAAAGUGACAUUUGUGAGACUAUACAGUGUUUUGUAAAUAAUUUUACAAAGAACGCCUGGGCCAUUGCCUGCAUUUUGAUGUAAAUAGAGGUAAAUCACUAUGUUCUUUGUUAAAAAUUUGCAUAUGUUUUGAAGUUUACAAUUUUUAUUUGAAGUUUAAGUUUUAAAAACAGUUCAUCACACAUAUUUGUGGUUUUCACAGUAAAAAUGUUACUUUUUUCCACUCGGAUUUUAUGUUUUGUGUGUGAAUUUGGGUCCAUUGUGUAAAUUCAGUAUGUCAACAUGAUAAAAUAACUGUAAAUUCGCACAGGUGAGGUUGUGCUGAAAAAAAUGAUACCAGGCAAGGCACGUGAUUGUCAAAUUUUGUGUCAAUAUGACAAAGCGUAUAGGCGUGAAUCUCAACAAUAUGUAUUUUCACCUUAGGGGACAAGAAAAAAUGGACUUUUUUCUCCUGCCAUGGGGGGGCGCUCUUUUGGGGAGUAAAAAUUCCUUCACAAAUGUGUUGAUGGCUGGACAUUGCAUCAUCCUAGAAAACUUGGAGGCCAGUGAGGACAAAAAUAAAAAGUUAUAAGACUUUUAAAUAUGUGGAUUUUAGGGUUAUCUUUGGCGCCCCCUAGAACCUAAACCGUGGGGUGCAGCGUCAUGAUUUGAAUAACUUUUAAUGGCCAUGGGGUGUAGAUUGGCCUGAGCAAAUGUGGUGCCGGUGGAACGAAAGCCUUAGGAGGAGUUAGCCACAUUCCAAUGUGUGCGGAUCGGCAAAAAAUGCGGAAUAACCCUUUAACCGUACAUUUGACAGAUACGCGCACAUUGACUUUUUCGUAGAUCUUAUUGAGUUACAUGUGUGUGUCAAUUUUUGUGUCAUUUUGACAAAGCGUAUAGGCGUGACACUCAACAAUGUGUAUUUUCACCUUAGGGGACAAGAAAAAAUGGACUUUUUUCUUCUGCCAUGGGGGGGCGCUCUUUUGGGGAGUAAAAAUUCCUUCACAAAUGUGUUGAUGGCUGGACAUUGCAUCAUCCUAGAAAACUUGGAGGCCAGUGAGGACAAAAAUAAAAAGUUAUAAGACUUUUAAAUAUGUGGAUUUUAGUGUUAUCUUUGGCGCCCCCUAGAACCUAAACCUUGGGGUGCAGCGUCAUGAUUUUGAUAACUUUUAAUGGCCACGGGGUGUAGAUUGGCCUGAGCAAAUGUGGUGCCGGUGGAACGAAAGCCUUCGGAGGAGUUAGCGAAAUUCCAAUGUGUGCGGAUCGGCAAAAAAUGCGAAAUAACCCUUUGACCGUACAUUUGACAGAUACGGCCGCACUGACUUUUUUGUAGAUCUUAUUGAGAUACAUAUGUGUGUCAAUUUUUGUGUCAAUAUGACAAAGCGUACAGGCGUGACAGUCAAUAGUGUGAAUUUCCACCUUAGGGGGCGCUAUGGAGCCAUUUUGCAUUUUAUUGUUUGGGCGACUUCAGAAUAUCGAAUUUUUCACCAGGCCCGGUCGUCCUGCCAAAUUUCAUGAGUUUUCGCCAGUGGGAAGUGGGCCAUUUUCCAGUUCAAAGGGGAGGAAAAAGAAGAAAGAAAGAAAGAACUAGGGCCCCGGUGGGGCACUGUCGGGCCCGAGCCGCGUUGCGCCGCCCCCAGCGCGACCGCCUCCCCCUCCCGAUCGCGUCACACUCAAGGUCCAAAGAUGGUGUGCGCACUUGUCUGUGGUCAUUUCCCAUUAUAAUGAAUGGGAGGCGCAGUUUCUACCAAAACACUCGCUGCAGACAAACUACAUGUCCUAUUUGAAAAAAGUCUGGACCAUGAGUGAGGGCACAAACACAGCUAGGAUAUAUCCAAACGGCAAGUUGCUCCUCGUUACGGUGUUGCCGGGAGAGUGAUGCGAUUGAGCCAUUGAGUGAUGGGCAGGAAAAACUUGACUGUUUCUCCUGCCAUGGGGGUUGGGGGAUGGGGGCGGGGGGGGAUGUGGAUUCUUUUAAGAAUGUGGAUAUUUGGGUCAUCUUUGGCGCCCCCUAGAACGUAAACCGUGGGGUGCAGCGUCAUGAUUUUUACAACUUUGAAUGGCCAUGGGGUGUAGAUUGGCCUGAGCAAAUUUGGUGUCAGUGGGACGAAAGCCUUAGGAGUAGUUAGCCACAUUCCAAUGUGUGCGAAUCGGCAAAAAAUGCAAAAUAGCCCUUUAACCGUACAUUUUACAGAUACGCGCGCAUUGACUUUUUCGUAGAUCUUAUUGAGAUACAUGUGAUUGUCAAAUUUUGUGUCAAUAUGACAAAGCGUAUAGGCGUGACACUCAACAAUGUGUUUUUUCACCUUAUGGGACAA